GUCAUUCUGUAGGAAUACCAGAGUACAUGACCACGGUAAGAGUGCUGUUACCCAAAGUGAGCCCUGGGCAGGAAGUGCUGGGACGAUGGUCACAUGACGGAUGGUAUCACCGCGGUUUAGUGCUCCAUGUGUGUGAUGACCAGAGCUUCAUCCUGCAAAAUGGAGCAGGGAUGCUGGAGAGGGUCUGGAGGGAGGACAUCAUUACUAAGGGAGAUGACACCAGCCAUGAGAUAAAGGUAGAGCACCCUGUCAUCAGUGCCCACCCUCUGUACCCUGGUCACUAUUGUCCAGCAACAAUCCUGAGCAUUCCUGGAGACCUACAGAUCAAGGUGCGCUACUACGACGGCUCGGAAGCCACAGUCCCCAGGGAUCAGGUGUACUUAGUUCCUGCUGAGAAGUUUGAGCAGGAUGUGGCCUAUGCCUUGGAGUGUGAACAGCGCUGGGUUGGGGAACCAGUUGUAGCCAGAUGUGACAACACAGGGACCUACCACCCUGCGGAGGUGGAGCAGCAGGUGGGAAUUGGGAGGCAGUACUUGAUCCGCUGGGCCGAUGGAACCAGCACUGUCCAGGACAGGGACCGCAUCUUUGGGAAAUGGAGCCCGUGGCGCAUCCUUGUGGUGGGGGACAAUGUGCUAGCACCCGCUGACCCAGCCUCACACACCUUCAUUCCUGGUGUCAUCCAUGGAUUACAUGGGGCUUUUGUGUAUGUACAGUUCAUAAAUGGUGAAAGGUAUAUGACAUUUAUUCAGCUUUGUACCAAAUCUCAGUGUCUACCUGCAGUACUUUUUAAAUUUAAAUCUAAAUAAGUCUAUUAAGACUUAAUAGGAAUUUGAAAAGCUGCUUUUAAAUACACACACACACACACACACACACACACACACACACACAUUUUCAGAACCGCUUGUCCCAUACGGGGUCACGGGGAGCCGGAGCCUACCCGGUAACACAGGGCGUAAGGCCGGAGGGGGAAGGGGACACACCCAGGACGGGACGCCAGUCCGCCGCAAGGCACCCCAAGCGGGACUCGAACCCCAGACCCCACCAGCAAGCAGGACUGUGGUCCAACCCACUGCGCCACCGCACCCCCUGCUUUUAAAUAUGCUGUAUGAAAUAAAAAUAAUAUGAUUGCUGUUAAGGGGGGUGCG
Molecule: long non-coding RNA, 1145 nt
Filed under: Scleropages formosus (Asian bonytongue)
Lineage: Eukaryota; Metazoa; Chordata; Actinopteri; Osteoglossiformes; Osteoglossidae
Description: lncRNA (ENSSFOG00015026213.1)
Source: RNAcentral